CAGCAGCCACGGGAAUACGAGGGGGGCAAGCGUUGUUCGGAAUUAUUGGGCGUAAAGGGUGCGUAGGCGGUUUGGCAAGUCUUGUGUGAAAUCUUCGGGCUCAACCCGAAGCCUGCACGAGAAACUGCCGGGCUUGAGUAUUGGAGAGGUGAGUGGAAUUUCCGGUGUAGCGGUGAAAUGCGUAGAUAUCGGAAGGAACACCUGUGGCGAAAGCGGCUCACUGGACAAUAACUGACGCUGAUGCACGAAAGCUAGGGGAGCAAACAGGAUUAGAUACCCCGGUAGUCCCUGUCUCUUAUAC
This 301-nucleotide ribosomal RNA is filed under the name uncultured bacterium. RNAcentral's name for it is "partial 16S ribosomal RNA". It matches the Rfam family "Bacterial small subunit ribosomal RNA", at positions 509 to 807 of the family's 1533-position model. The record is from RNAcentral.